CAGUCGCCGCGGUAAUACGAAGGGGGCUAGCGUUGUUCGGAUUUACUGGGCGUAAAGCGCACGUAGGCGGAUUGGUCAGUUAGGGGUGAAAUCCUGGAGCUCAACUCCAGAACUGCCUUUAAUACUGCCAGUCUCGAGUCCGGAAGAGGUAAGUGGAACUCCUAGUGUAGAGGUGGAAUUCGUAGAUAUUAGGAAGAACACCAGUGGCGAAGGCGGCUUACUGGUCCGGUACUGACGCUGAGGUGCGAAAGCGUGGGGAGCAAACAGGAUUAGAUACCCCUGUAGUCCCUGUCUCUUAUAC
This 301-nucleotide ribosomal RNA is filed under the name uncultured bacterium. RNAcentral's name for it is "partial 16S ribosomal RNA". It matches the Rfam family "Bacterial small subunit ribosomal RNA", at positions 509 to 807 of the family's 1533-position model. The record is from RNAcentral.